ACUCCUACGGGAGGCAGCAGUGGGGAAUAUUGCACAAUGGGCGCAAGCCUGAUGCAGCAACGCCGUGUGAGUGAAGAAGGUUUUCGGAUCGUAAAACUCUGUCCUAAGGGAAGAAACAAAUGACGGUACCUUAGGAGGAAGCCCCGGCUAACUACGUGCCAGCAGCCGCGGUAAUACGUAGGGGGCAAGCGUUAUCCGGAAUCACUGGGCGUAAAGGGUGCGUAGGCGGCUUAGCAAGCCAGGGGUGAAAGGCAUUGGCUCAACCAAUGUAAGCCUUUGGAACUGUUAAGCUUGAGUGCAGGAGAGGUAAGUGGAAUUCCUAGUGUAGAGGUGAAAUUCGUAGAUAUUAGGAGGAACACCAGUGGCGAAAGGCGACUUACUGGACUGUAACUGACGCUGAUGCACGAAAGCGUGGGUAGCGAACAGGAUUAGAUACCCUGGUAGCACAGAG
This 451-nucleotide ribosomal RNA is filed under the name uncultured bacterium. RNAcentral describes it as "bacterial SSU rRNA". It matches the Rfam family "Bacterial small subunit ribosomal RNA", at positions 335 to 799 of the family's 1533-position model. The record is from RNAcentral.